Molecule: long non-coding RNA, 1066 nt
Organism: Vombatus ursinus (common wombat)
Lineage: Eukaryota; Metazoa; Chordata; Mammalia; Diprotodontia; Vombatidae
Exons: 5
Source: RefSeq, a predicted model, not a curated record
CUUCAAGAACAAAGGAUAACCAACAAUCAAUAAUUGACACACAGCUUUAUCCAUUGAGCCUGCGAGUGGCCUGAAGACAUCAUUCCCAAAAUAAAUGUCCAACAGAUUCCAAACUAUUUAUACUAGGACUUUUUGCACCAGCAAAGAACUGGAAACAAAUUGAGAGCCCUCUGCCCUCCGGAGGCCAGCUCUGUGCAUGCAGGUCCUAGGUCGCCCUCCUGCCUAGGAAGAGAAGGGAAAGACAUCUCCAUCUCUGGAGCCAGCUGAGCCUGCAGAGGACCAAGGCCUGACCCAGCAGGGAGCCUGGAGCCAGAGGGAAUGGCCCCUGGGAGCCGCAGACCCCCAGCCCAGGUCGACAGUAAUGGUGCCAUGACUCGAUGGAACUGAAGGAAUGGAAGAAAACUCCAGCCAACCCCAGCAACGCUUAGUGGCUCAGGCGCCUCAGGAUCCGUUUUUCCUGGAGUCUUAACAUUCAUGGGGUCGGGUAACUUUCCCCUAUUCCCACCUUCCAUGGACCUCCCAUUAGUUUGGUUGAAGUCUGCCUCCUCACACGUGGUCCGAGAUCUCGAGCUUGGUGGGAGACCGCUGAAAUACGGCAAGCAGGUUUUUAUGCGGUUAAAUUCUGUCUGAAACCUCCCAGGGCUGGAUUACUCUGUUCCCUCCAGGUGACAUUUGUUCUGGAAUGCCCCCUGUUCCCGUCCUAUUGUGCCGACAAUUGUGCUAUUGUCCCCCUCCCCUAUCCUGGGCGGAGAAGUUACUGCGCCUGAGAUUCACUAAGUGUGCUCUUAUCUUGAUUUUGGGGUCUUCUUGGAACCAUCAGCUUUGGGCUAAGCCCAGGCCCACCUACAGUAUACCUGCUUCAUUUCCUGGACUUGUUUUUGUAACUCUCUGCACCAUUCUACCUGUGGAAACUUAAGCCUUAACAUACUCAUUCUGGAAGAAUAAGAUAUAAGUCUUCCUGUGUCAACAGCUAAAACUGAUCAAGAGUAUUCUUCUGUUUAUGACCACUAAGGCGCCUUUAACCCAGACACUACCUGUGUGUGUGUGUGUGUGUGUGUGUGUGUGU